UGCUCUCUCGCUUAAUUUUUCUCUCCU
Molecule: non-coding RNA, 27 nt
Filed under: Rattus norvegicus (Norway rat)
Lineage: Eukaryota; Metazoa; Chordata; Mammalia; Rodentia; Muridae
Source: RNAcentral